This 142-nucleotide ribosomal RNA is filed under the name Oryza sativa Indica Group (long-grained rice). Lineage: Eukaryota; Viridiplantae; Streptophyta; Magnoliopsida; Poales; Poaceae. The record is from RNAcentral.
GGAUGCGAUCAUACCAGCACUAAAGCACCGGAUCCCAUCAGAACUCCGAUGUUAAGCGUGCUUGGGCUCCGAUGUUAAGCGUGCUUGGGCGAGAGUAGUACUAGGAUUGGUGACCUCCUGGGAAGUCCUCGUGUUGCAUCCC